This is a long non-coding RNA of Neocloeon triangulifer, 481 nucleotides long. RefSeq lists it as uncharacterized. The transcript has 4 exons. The record is from RefSeq and is a predicted model, not a curated record. Lineage: Eukaryota; Metazoa; Arthropoda; Insecta; Ephemeroptera; Baetidae.
AGCAACACGGAAAAGCGCCAGCAGUUUUCCCCAAUGCUCCACGUCAAAGCCUACUUUGUUUUUUGAAGCAGCCAUGCAAUUAGCUGCAAUUUCGUUCCUCCUAAUGCUUUAUUUGACACUCGACAGCGCACCACACAAGGUGAGAGCGCAAAGUGCAGACGGAGCCUGCAUGGACCAGAUGGGAUUGAAACCAGAGCAACAAGAAAAGUUGAAAUCGUUGAAAAAAUACUACUGCAUAUCGCAAUGCAUGGGCGGGUUUGGGGGCGAAGUGGACUUUUGCAAGAGCGACGGAAUCUGCCUGGAGCAGCCGUCGGCGCCGUCAGGGUACUCCGCAGCGAUGAACAUGCCCCGCGCAUAAUCAGUUUUAAUCAAAGAACUUGAAAUUGAAAUUUAAAUUGAGAGAAAUAUAAAUUGGCACUGAAAAGUAUUUAAAAAAUUUCAAAAAAGAAUUUGAUUUUUUUUUUUUUUUUUUUUGUGAGAA